UGCAUGGUGGAACAGUUGGUAGCACUGUUGCCUUGCAACAAGAAGGUCCUGGGUUCGAUUCCCGGCCGGGGGUCUUUCUGCAU
Crenichthys baileyi (White River springfish) is the source of this 83-nucleotide non-coding RNA. The record is from the annotation of a GenBank genome assembly. NCBI's taxonomy places the organism in Eukaryota, Metazoa, Chordata, Actinopteri, Cyprinodontiformes, Goodeidae.